UAAGGAACAAAAUGCUGAGUAACAACAUGAAGUCAGAGUGUUGCUUGCCAAGAGCUGGGAGGCCUGGGUGGUUUCCCAAUCUUAAAGAAGCAGAAGGAUAUUAAAGUGAGCCUCCCAAAGGAAAACGUGGAUCUACUUACCAACGCAGAAAAUGAUACACACGGAUUCGAUUUAGGCUGGAGUACAGUAACUGCAACCUCCGCCUCCCAGGUUCCGGUGAUUCUCAUGGCUCAGUCUCCCAAGGAGCUGGGAUUACAGGCACGCUACAUUCAAAUGACUUGGAAGAGCAGGUUCUCUGAGCCAGGAUACUAAAGUCCCUGUUUAGGAAAGAGCCACGUUGUAUGUUUACCCUACCACAAAGAUACAGUCAUGUGCCUGGGAAAGAUUGAUGCCAGCUCCAGAAAGGCAUCCGAAUGGUCUAAGUAAUGCCAUCCAUCUGUCAGUAAUAGAUUCAGAAAUGGGUAUGUGAUUCAAGUCUGGCCAAUGAGAUGUAUGCAGAAGAGUGCUGGGUAUUCUGGAAAAUUAUCCCUUGUCAUUCAGAGAUCCACAGGAAUCCAGCCUUUUGCUCCUUGAAUGGGAUAAGGAAGCACAUAA
Molecule: long non-coding RNA, 594 nt
Filed under: Homo sapiens (human)
Lineage: Eukaryota; Metazoa; Chordata; Mammalia; Primates; Hominidae
Description: non-protein coding LINC01094:11
Source: RNAcentral